This 69-nucleotide transfer RNA is filed under the name Gastrophryne olivacea (western narrow-mouthed toad). RNAcentral describes it as "tRNA-Gly". It matches the Rfam family "tRNA". Rfam says of the family: Transfer RNA (tRNA) molecules are approximately 80 nucleotides in length. Their secondary structure includes four short double-helical elements and three loops (D, anti-codon, and T loops). The record is from RNAcentral. Lineage: Eukaryota; Metazoa; Chordata; Amphibia; Anura; Microhylidae.
ACUUUCUUAGUAUAAAUAGUACAGAUGGCUUCCAACCACCUAAUCUUGGUUCAACCCCAGGAGAAAGUA